Molecule: long non-coding RNA, 233 nt
Filed under: Brassica napus (rape)
Lineage: Eukaryota; Viridiplantae; Streptophyta; Magnoliopsida; Brassicales; Brassicaceae
Description: long non-coding RNA (BNAP_LNC018913)
Source: RNAcentral
UAGGGUUUAGGGUUUAGAGUUUAGGGUUUAGGGUUUAGGGUUUAGGAUUUAAAAAUGUGCUAUUUUGGUCAUUUUAGUUUUUGAGUGCUAUUUUUGUGAUAUAAACUUAGAAAGGUGUUAUUUUGGACAUUUGCCCUUAACAUAUAUGUGACCAUUAAUGAUAAUGAAUAAUACAUAUUUGAUAACAAUUUUUGUUUAAUUUUAUAUUAUUAAAAUAAAUUAAACAAUCACAU